Molecule: long non-coding RNA, 2694 nt
Organism: Oxyura jamaicensis (ruddy duck)
Lineage: Eukaryota; Metazoa; Chordata; Aves; Anseriformes; Anatidae
Exons: 4
Source: RefSeq, a predicted model, not a curated record
AUUCUUGCCAAAAUAUAGAAACAUAUAAUAUGAACUCUUGCACUUCCACAUGCCCCAUGUACGCUGAGGAGAAAGACUUUUGCUUCUAGAGCCAGGAUGGCACAUGGAACCUGCUCCUCUGGCACCUGUACUUCGCUUUUUUUUUUUUAUUAUUAUUUUUUCUGACUAUAUUUCAGAAACUAAUUUUUGUCUUGUCCAUGCAACAUGUUUUCUACCAACUCUCAGUACCUCUCAAAUUGGGAGAUAAUUUAUGAGCAUGAAAGGAGAGCUUGUCUUUUUCUGGGCCAUUCGUUGAUCUUUCUAUUUUGACCAGCUAUGGUCAUUGGUUUUCACCACUAAUUAGAGAAAAAAAAAGUGUUCUGUCCUCCUUCCUAAGCUUGCAAGUUACAUCGAGCAGUCCAGUCUCUAAAAGUCAUCCAAACGAAUUCUGAUGCUGUUCCUGUUUUCUCUGUUAGCUUGGAUGCUAACACCAGAGGAAUUACAAAGGGUUUUUUCAGACUGAAUAAGUGGUAUCUUCAGGGGCUGGGCUAUUUCUUCAGUGCCAGCUGUAGCUCUGGAUACCACAACACCGCUUGCUUAGGUCUAAGGAGAAAAAGAAAAAGCACAGGUGUGAGGAAGCUUGCAUUGUACAGCUAUGUUAUCUACAAUGCAGACAAAUGAUUUAUGAUUGCGUGUUUCAUGUAACAGGAAUGAUAUUGCCAGAGGUAAGAAUAAGGAGGAAAACUCGAACUUGCUUCAGGUGACAGACGUCUUACAAAUAAAGAGGAUCCUUUUGAAUUUUCUGGCAAGUCUCAUCAGGAUAGUCCUACAGCAAAAAGGGAAAUGUGACUUUCCCUUUACGGUUGCUUAAAACUGCUCCAAAGCAACCACUGCUCACUGCCUGAGAUGUCCUUGAUAGGCAACCAGGAGAACUGGUGCCAUAACAGCUAACUGUACCGGGCUGUGUGCCCCUUCUGCUUUCAACCUGCCCUCCUGGCAUUGUGCAAUCCCACAUUAAUAUGGACACUGGUUUUGCAGGCAACUCUGACCACUUCUCCUUUUGAUUUAUUGAAAGAAACGAGAAACUCUGUAAUCAGCAGAAUUAAUGAAAUGUGUUGUCCUAGGGCUUUCCGUUCCCUUCCAGAGACUGGGAGCAUCAUAUGAUUGAUUUUUGGGGUAGCUUUUACAGGUGGCAGCUGGUAGCAGGUGCUGGGACAAUUUAAAAAUGUUCUGCUUCUCGUAGACUGGAUCAAGGGAAAUGAGGAAAUUCCUGUAAUGCUGCUAAGCUGGCAAGAGAACUUCAAUAAUAACCUGAAGCUGGUUGAGUAGUACCAAGCUGAAGCGGAAUACGAUUUGAUGUUGAUCAUAAUUAAUGUUAAUAUUCAAAAUAUAGUUCUAUCUAAAAGUAGCCAUCGCUAAUGCUCUAUCAAGAUACAUGCCGUACAUAGGUGUAUGGUGUCUGAGCCUUGAAGCAGUUGCAUCUGGUCUGAUCUAAAUCCUGCAUGGCAAUAUACGUGGGUUGAGCCCUUGAAUUAACCGUCCUGUUCCUUCUCUAUUUUCAAAGUGCUUUCUUUUUCCUUUUGACAAUUUGAAUUUAAUUUUUUAUUUAACUGGAUUAAUUAAUACGCUUCUACUUUUGCAGCUAUGUUGUGAUGCACUACGUUUGCAAUGCGUUCCUCUUGCUCUAUCACUUUUCCCUUAGCUAUGUAAGGAUGCUUUCUGAUGAAGAUCAGCACAAGGCUGAGUGCUUGGCCUGGAUUUUGGACCUUUGAGCACGCCCUGGCAGGCUGUUUGCAGCCACUAGAUGGCACGUUGCAAAAGACUCCAUCCUGAAUGGCAGCUUGAUGUUUUGGGUCUGUUAGUAUGAUUAAAGGAUAAAUAAUAUUAGACGUGUCUUUAAUAGGAGAAAAUGCACAGCAUUUACAACAGUGAUUAAGUUCUAUUAAACAGUUGUUAUUUUGGACACAGCGUGAUUACUACAUUCAAACCACUUCGUUUCCAGGCUUUAGGACCUUGGUCAUUACUAACGUAAAUCGUAAAGUUCAGUGAAUCACGUUGUAAAUAGUUUUAUUGGUUCCAUGCUGAAAAAAAAAGAGGUUUGUGAAAUUCCUUGAUGACUUAAAUUUACAUAUUUCCUAAGCCAUCCUAUUAAUGUUUUCUGUUCUUUACUUGGUUGUUCAACACUAAAGAAAUUUUAAACUCUCUUUCUGCUGUUGCAAAUGCUGAGAACAACGUGCCAAUUGAGAGCCAAGAGUUGUAUUCCUAGAACAAGUAUGCUAAAUGGAGAGAGUUGGAAUUUUGCACUCAUCUGCACACUGCUGCCAACAUGCCACAGCUAUCUGAGGGAGGAAUUACCUCCAGGGAUGAGAGUGGAACUGCUCUUACAGCUCCUGGGGAAAGGUUACAUCCUUUCACCUGGCUUCUUCUGAAAAGUGGGCAUUUAGAAACCCCUUGAGCAGCUUUUGCUGCAGCCAUUUUCUGGACUCCUGAGGAUGGUGAAGGCUCUUACUGCCACUAGCUGAGGAAACGCACAUUGCUGCUACCAGCAUGCCCUCUUGUGUUCCAGGAGAGCAUACGUGAAAGAGAACAGUUGCCCAACCUGGUAUGAAACCAGGGUCUCUGGUAAACCAGAGCAGUACCAGCAGUAUGAAGAGAACCAAAACUGCUAUCUCUGCAAACUUCAUCGAGCCCAGUUUCUUGUUCUCCUCCCUGAUA